RNAcentral lists this ribosomal RNA (448 nucleotides) under uncultured bacterium. RNAcentral describes it as "SSU rRNA". It matches the Rfam family "Bacterial small subunit ribosomal RNA", at positions 26 to 518 of the family's 1533-position model. The record is from RNAcentral.
AGAGCGAACGCUGGCGGCAGGCUUAACACAUGCAAGUCGAGCGGGCGUAGCAAUACGUCAGCGGCAGACGGGUGAGUAACGCGUGGGAACGUACCUUUUGGUUCGGAACAACACAGGGAAACUUGUGCUAAUACCGGAUAAGCCCUUACGGGGAAAGAUUUAUCGCCAAAAGAUCGGCCCGCGUCUGAUUAGCUAGUUGGUGAGGUAACGGCUCACCAAGGCGACGAUCAGUAGCUGGUCUGAGAGGAUGAUCAGCCACAUUGGGACUGAGACACGGCCCAAACUCCUACGGGAGGCAGCAGUGGGAAUAUUGGACAAUGGGCGCAAGCCUGAUCCAGCCAUGCCGCGUGAGUGAUGAAGGCCCUAGGGUUGUAAAGCUUCUUUUGUGCGGGAAGAUAAUGACGGUACCGCAAGAAUAAGCCCCGGCUAACUUCGCGCCAGCAGCCGC